AGAGUUUGAUCCUGGCUCAGGAUGAACGCUAGCGGCAGGCCUAAUACAUGCAAGUCGAACGGUGAUAGCAAUAUCAUAGUGGCGCACGGGUGCGUAACACGUAUGCAACCUACCUUAUACUGAGGGAUAGCCUUUCGAAAGGGAGAUUAAUACCUCAUAACACAUUGAACUGGCAUCAGUUUAUUGUUAAAGAUUUAUUGGUAUAAAAUGGACAUGCGUCCAAUUAGUUAGUUGGCGAGGUAACGGCUCACCAAGACGAUGAUUGGUAGGGGAACUGAGAGGUUAAUCCCCCACACUGGCACUGAGAUACGGGCCAGACUCCUACGGGAGGCAACAGUAGGGAAUAUUGGGCAAUGGAGGCAACUCUGACCCAACCAUGCCGCGUGCACGAAGAAGGCGUUAUGCGUUGUAAACUGCUUUUAUAUAGGAAGAAAUAGACCUUGCGAGGUAAGUUGACGGUACUAUAUGAAUAAGCACCGGCUAACUCCGUGCCAGCAGCCGCGGUAAUACGGAGGGUGCAAGCGUUGUCCGGAUUUAUUGGGUUUAAAGGGUGCGU
Molecule: ribosomal RNA, 556 nt
Filed under: uncultured bacterium
Lineage: Bacteria
Description: bacterial SSU rRNA
Rfam family: Bacterial small subunit ribosomal RNA
Source: RNAcentral